Molecule: ribosomal RNA, 472 nt
Filed under: uncultured bacterium
Lineage: Bacteria
Description: bacterial SSU rRNA
Rfam family: Bacterial small subunit ribosomal RNA
Source: RNAcentral
UGGGGAAUAUUGGACAAUGGGGGCAACCCUGAUCCAGCAAUGCCGCGUGUGUGAAGAAGGCCUGCGGGUUGUAAAGCACUUUUGGCAGGGAUGAAAAGCACUGGAUUAAUAACCCAGUGUGUUGACCUAACCUGCAGAAGAAGCACCGGCUAACUCUGUGCCAGCAGCCGCGGUAAUACGUAGGGUGCGAGCGUUAAUCGGAAUUACUGGGCGUAAAGCGUGCGCAGGCGGUUUGGUAAGACAGAUGUGAAAUCCCCGGGCUUAACCUGGGAACUGCAUUUGUGACUGCCAGACUAGAGUGUAGCAGAGGGGGGUAGAAUUCCACGUGUAGCAGUGAAAUGCGUAGAUAUGUGGAGGAAUACCGAUGGCGAAGGCAGCCCCCUGGGCUAACACUGACGCUCAUGCACGAAAGCGUGGGGAGCAAACAGGAUUAGAUACCCUAGUAGUCCCUGAGCGGGCUGGCAAGGCGCAU